CGUAGGGUGCGAGCGUUAAUCGGAAUUACUGGGCGUAAAGCGUGCGCAGGCGGUUUUGUAAGCCAGAUGUGAAAUCCCCGGGCUCAACCUGGGAAUGGCAUUUGGGACUGCAAGGCUGGAGUGUGGCAGAGGAGACUGGAAUUCCUGGUGUAGCAGUGAAAUGCGUAGAUAUCAGGAGGAAUACCGAUGGCGAAGGCAGGUCUCUGGGCUAACACUGACGCUCAUGCACGAAAGCGUGGGGAGCAAACAGGAUUAGAUACCCUGGUAGUCCACGCCUUAAACGAUGUCGACUGGUUGUUGGGGGUUUGACGCUCUCAGUAACGAAGCUAACGCGUGAAGUCGACCGCCUGGGGAGUACGGCCGCAAGGUUA
RNAcentral lists this ribosomal RNA (371 nucleotides) under uncultured organism. RNAcentral's name for it is "bacterial SSU rRNA". It matches the Rfam family "Bacterial small subunit ribosomal RNA", at positions 526 to 896 of the family's 1533-position model. The record is from RNAcentral.